GAUGAACGCUGGCGGCGUGCUUAACACAUGCAAGUCGAACGGUGAAGCAGGAGCUUGCUCUUGUGGAUCAGUGGCGAACGGGUGAGUAACACGUGAGCAACCUGCCCCUGACUCUGGGAUAAGCGCUGGAAACGGCGUCUAAUACUGGAUAUGUGAUGUGACCGCAUGGUCUGCAUCUGGAAAGAAUUUCGGUUGGGGAUGGGCUCGCGGCCGAUCAGCUUGUUGGUGAGGUCAUGGCGCACCAAGGCGUCGACGGGUAGCCGGCUUGAGAGGGUGCCCGGCCACACUGGGACUGAGCCACGGCCCAGACUCCUACGGGAGUCAGCGUUUGGGACUAUUGCACAAUGGGCGGACGCCUGAUGCAGCAACGCCGCGUGAGGGAUGACGGCCUUCGCGUUGUAAACCUCUUUUAGCAGGGAAGAAGCGAAAGUGACGGUACCUGCAGAAAAAGCACCGGCUAACGACGUGCCAGCAGCCGCCGUAA
Molecule: ribosomal RNA, 484 nt
Filed under: uncultured bacterium
Lineage: Bacteria
Description: partial 16S ribosomal RNA
Rfam family: Bacterial small subunit ribosomal RNA
Source: RNAcentral